Molecule: ribosomal RNA, 497 nt
Filed under: uncultured bacterium
Lineage: Bacteria
Description: partial 16S ribosomal RNA
Rfam family: Bacterial small subunit ribosomal RNA
Source: RNAcentral
GAUGAACGCUGGCGGCGUGCCUAAUACAUGCAAGUCGAGUGAACAGAUAAGGAGCUUGCUCCUUUGACGUUAGCGGCGGACGGGUGAGUAACACGUGGAUAACCUACCUAUAAGACUGGGAUAACUUCGGGAAACCGGAGCUAAUACCGGAUAACAUAUUGAACCGCAUGGUUCAAUAGUGAAAGGCGGCUUUGCUGUCACUUAUAGAUGGAUCCGCGCCGUAUUAGCUAGUUGGUAAGGUAACGGCUUACCAAGGCAACGAUACGUAGCCGACCUGAGAGGGUGAUCGGCCACACUGGAACUGAGACACGGUCCAGACUCCUACGGGAGGCAGCAGUAGGGAAUCUUCCGCAAUGGGCGAAAGCCUGACGGAGCAACGCCGCGUGAGUGAUGAAGGUCUUCGGAUCGUAAAACUCUGUUAUCAGGGAAGAACAAAUGUGUAAGUAACUGUGCACAUCUUGACGGUACCUGAUCAGAAAGCCACGGCUAACUACGUG